Molecule: long non-coding RNA, 205 nt
Filed under: Bos taurus (domestic cattle)
Lineage: Eukaryota; Metazoa; Chordata; Mammalia; Artiodactyla; Bovidae
Description: long non-coding RNA NONBTAT023567
Source: RNAcentral
CGCUCAGUCGGACAUUGGAAGUACAAAUAAUACUCAUUUGAUAUACCAUGAUGCUUAUUUGCCUAUUAAUAGUUAAAAUGUUGCUAAUGAUGAUAUAGUACUCAUUUGUAUUCUUAAUGGCAUUUUAAUACUUUCCUCUUUGUUACAAUAUAAUAUUCAUGGGGGAAAUUUUGGAAAAUACAGGAAAAAGAAAAUAGUUUGAAGG